Molecule: RNA transcript, 1671 nt
Organism: Erigeron canadensis
Lineage: Eukaryota; Viridiplantae; Streptophyta; Magnoliopsida; Asterales; Asteraceae
Gene name: D-glycerate 3-kinase, chloroplastic
Exons: 14
Source: RefSeq, a predicted model, not a curated record
UAUAAUAAUUCUGUAUCUCUCACUCUCACUCACUCACACUCCAAUCCAUCAAUGGCGGUUUUUAUGGAUGUAUUUCACCGGCCAAUUAAACCAUUACUCACGUCAUCUUUGCCGUCAAUUUCCGCCGCACAUGAUCGGAAUUCUAACCGCAUUCUUCCUCAACUGCCUCUCCAUUCCUCUUUCAAAUCAGGGCAUGGAUGUUCAUGGAUGCAAGACAACUCAAGCUAUAAGGAUAUUGUAGCCAAUAAUGACAGGAGGCCUGGUCCAUUACAUUCAGUAUUUCCAACUAAACCUGCAGAAGUUUCCUCUGUGAAGGAUCUCUUUGAAUUUAUCUGCUCAGGUCCCCUUAUAGACAAACUUGGGUUCACCCCAGAGAUGAUAGCAGAAUCUAUAGACAAGUGGUUAGAAAAUGGAUCUCACGUGUGUAAAUUGUUUAAGCUCAAUGAUCUAUACCUGACCACACCUCAGAAAGCUAGAAUCUAUCACUAUUAUAUCCCUGUGUACUUGUGGUGUGACCAGCAGAUAUCCGAUCAUAGGUCCGCUUUCAAAGAUGGAGAUGACAUCCCUCCAUUGGUGAUUGGCUUUAGUGCUCCACAAGGUUGUGGGAAGACUACCCUUGUUUUCGCUCUAGACUAUCUUUUUCAAACUUCUGGGAGGAAGUCUGCAACUAUUUCCAUAGACGACUUCUAUUUAACAUAUGAUAAUCAGGCUAAACUGAGGGAAAACAAUCCCGGGAAUGCUCUAUUAGAGUUCCGCGGAAAUGCUGGAAGUCAUGAUCUUUCUCUGUCUGUUGAAACACUAACAGCUCUGGGCAAAUUGACCAAAGAAGGUAUGAAGAUGAAGCUACCAAGAUAUGAUAAAUCUGCGUACAAUGGUAGAGGUGAUAGAGCCGAUCCUUCAACAUGGCCUGAAGUUGAAGGACCUUUAACAGUAGUUCUUUUUGAGGGUUGGAUGCUUGGUUUUAAGCCUGUUCCUGCCGAAGUGGUCAAAGCUGUUGAUCCACAGCUAGAAAUAGUGAACAAAAAUCUGGAGACUUAUUAUGAUGCAUGGGAUAAGUUCGUGAAAUCAUGGAUUAUUAUCAAAAUUAAAGACCCAAGUUGUGUCUACCAAUGGCGGUUACAGGCAGAGAUUCAAAUGCGAGAAGCUGGAAAACCAGGGAUGACUGAUGAGGAGGUGAUGGAUUUUGUGUCAAGAUAUUUGCCGGCGUACAACGCCUACCUCCCUACAUUAUACACUGAAGGACCAAAGGGAUCCGACUCUAAACGCACCCUCCUUGUUGAAAUUGAUGAAGGAAGAAAUCCAAUCCUUGCUGGCUAGAUAGAGGUUCAUCGUGUCGGACUUUUGGCUGAUAAAAUCCGCUAGGUCCCGGUCAUAUAAACAGGAUGGUAAACUGCAGGGACUACUCUUGAAUAUAUUUAUGCUGAAAGGAUCAGAAGUAUUAGAAGAUUCAAGCUAAGGACUAAAGCUCUAAGGCGGUGAUAUAUUCAAGGGGUGUUUUGCAAAUUAUGAAAGACACAUUAUAUAUACACAGAUGGGUAUACAAUUUGUAUUCAUUCAGACAUAUUUUUUCAUUCGAUAAUCUUUUUUUCCCAGUAUAAGGUUUUUUAAUAUCUUUAUAAGAAAUAUCAUCUUGGUAUUCCCGUAAUCAAUCAAUUAAUAUACUAAUAAUAA